This 402-nucleotide long non-coding RNA is filed under the name Mus caroli (Ryukyu mouse). Its description in RNAcentral is "lncRNA (MGP_CAROLIEiJ_G0002865.1)". The record is from RNAcentral. Lineage: Eukaryota; Metazoa; Chordata; Mammalia; Rodentia; Muridae.
CACAAAGAAAGGAAAGUUCUCUUGAAGUAGCAAUCAAGGCAUCAAGGUAAGAGAACGAAAAGUUGGCUUGGAAUCCUAGGAAAGGACCUGUCAGUUGGCCUUGAUCCACACCUGUCUCUGCUCUAGCAUCCUACUGCACAAGUGUAUGAUGGACCAGUAAGGGAACAGAGACAGGGGAGCCAAGCCAGUCUCCACCCUCUGCUAGCUGUAUUUAGCCACUUGCUUAGCUCCUGGCUUCAUUUUUCUCAGUUACACAACAGAAUUGAACCAGAUGAUCCUUAGAAACUCUCAGUUAGGAUUCCAUAAUUACUGUUAUCAUUUUUCUGCCUGUAUCAGGUGUUAAGAAUGUAACUAUACAAAUGAAAUUUCCAGGAAAAUAAAUUAAUCUUGACCUUAAAUAUA